GAAGGGGGCAAGCGUUGUUCGGAAUUACUGGGCGUAAAGGGCGCGUAGGCGGUCUGGUCAGUCAGGCGUGAAAGCCCCGGGCUCAACCUGGGAGGUGCGUCUGAGACGGCUGGGCUUGAGGUCGGAAGAGGGUGGUGGAAUUCCCAGUGUAGAGGUGAAAUUCGUAGAUAUUGGGAAGAACACCAGUGGCGAAGGCGGCCACCUGGUCCGCACCUGACGCUGAGGCGCGAAAGCGUGGGGAGCAAACAGGAUUAGAUACCCUGGUAGUCCACGCCGUAAACGAUGCACGCUAGACGUCGGGGGGCUUGCCCUUCGGUGUCGCAGCCAACGCGGUAAGCGUGCCGCCUGGGGAGUACGGCCGCAAGGUUA
RNAcentral lists this ribosomal RNA (369 nucleotides) under uncultured bacterium. RNAcentral's name for it is "bacterial SSU rRNA". It matches the Rfam family "Bacterial small subunit ribosomal RNA", at positions 527 to 896 of the family's 1533-position model. The record is from RNAcentral.